RNAcentral lists this ribosomal RNA (266 nucleotides) under uncultured bacterium. RNAcentral describes it as "partial 16S ribosomal RNA". It matches the Rfam family "Bacterial small subunit ribosomal RNA", at positions 335 to 618 of the family's 1533-position model. The record is from RNAcentral.
UUGCCUACGGGGGGCAGCAGUGGGGGAUAUUGCACAAUGGGGGGAACCCUGAUGCAGCGACGCCGCGUGGGUGAAGGAGCGUUUCGGCGCGUAAAGCCCUAUCGGCAGGGAAGAAGAUGACGGUACCUGACCAAGAAGCCCCGGCUAACUACGUGCCAGCAGCCGCGGGAAUACGUAGGGGGCAAGCGUUAUCCGGAUUUACUGGGUGUAAAGGGGGCGCAGACGGCAAGGCAAGCCAGGAGGGAAAGGCCGGGGCCCAACCCCGG